GAUGAACGCUGGCGGCGUGCCUAAUACAUGCAAGUCGAGCGAACAGACGAGGAGCUUGCUCCUCUAACGUUAGCGGCGGACGGGUGAGUAACACGUGGAUAACCUACCUAUAAGACUGGGAUAACUUCGGGAAACCGGAGCUAAUACCGGAUAAUAUAUUGAACCGCAUGGUUCAAUAGUGAAAGACGGUUUUGCUGUCACUUCUAGAUGGAUCCGCGCCGCAUUAGCUAGUUGGUAAGGUAACAGCUUACCAAGGCAACGAUGCGUAGCCGACCUGAGAGGGUGAUCGGCCACACUGGAACUGAGACACGGUCCAGACUCCUACGGGAGGCAGCAGUAGGGAAUCUUCCGCAAUGGGCGAAAGCCUGACGGAGCAACGCCGCGUGAGUGAUGAAGGUCUUCGGAUCGUAAAACUCUGUUAUUAGGGAAGAACAAAUGUGUAAGUAACUAUGCACGUCUUGACGGUACCUAAUCAGAAAGCCACGGCUAACUACGUG
RNAcentral lists this ribosomal RNA (497 nucleotides) under uncultured bacterium. Its description in RNAcentral is "partial 16S ribosomal RNA". It matches the Rfam family "Bacterial small subunit ribosomal RNA", at positions 28 to 507 of the family's 1533-position model. The record is from RNAcentral.